AAGUCGUAACAAGGUUUCCGUAGGUGAACCUGCGGAAGGAUCAUUAGCGAGAUUGCCGUGCGCGCCAAACCCGCAAGGUUUGUGCGCGUGCGAGCAAGCGCCAUCCUUGUGUUAUGUGUGUGAUGUCGCGUGUGCCCACACUUCUCUCGGGGGGAGUGAGCACGUGCGCACAUUUUUUUCACCCAUUAUUAUUCGCAUUUUAUUCUAAUCCACUGCUCAUACGAGCACAAACAACCGAAAACUGCCAGCAAUGGAUCACUCGGUUCUC
RNAcentral lists this unclassified non-coding RNA (268 nucleotides) under fungal sp. RNAcentral describes it as "partial internal transcribed spacer region". The stretch from base 1 to 46 matches the Rfam family "Eukaryotic small subunit ribosomal RNA", at positions 1786 to 1831 of the family's 1831-position model. The record is from RNAcentral. Lineage: Eukaryota; Fungi.